RNAcentral lists this ribosomal RNA (460 nucleotides) under uncultured bacterium. RNAcentral describes it as "partial 16S ribosomal RNA". It matches the Rfam family "Bacterial small subunit ribosomal RNA", at positions 338 to 795 of the family's 1533-position model. The record is from RNAcentral.
CCUACGGGUGGCAGCAGUGAGGAAUAUUGGUCAAUGGGCGCGAGCCUGAACCAGCCAAGUAGCGUGAAGGAUGACUGCCCUACGGGUUGUAAACUUCUUUUAUAAAGGAAUAAAGUGAGGAACGAGUGCCUUUUUGCAUGUACUUUAUGAAUAAGGAUCGGCUAACUCCGUGCCAGCAGCCGCGGUAAUACGGAGGAUACGAGCGUUAUCCGGAUUUAUUGGGUGUAAAGGGAGCGUAGAUGGGUUGUUAAGUCAGUUGUGAAAGUUUGCGGCUCAACCGUAAAACUGCAAUUGAUACUGGCAGUCUUGAGUACAGUGGAGGUAGGCAGAAGUCGUGGUGUAGCGGUGAAAUGCUUAGAUAUCACGAAGAACCCCGAUUGCGAAGGCAGCUUACUAAACGUUGACUGACAUUGAUGCUCGAAAGUGUGGGUAUCAAACAGGAUUAGAUACCCGUGUAGUC